RNAcentral lists this unclassified non-coding RNA (264 nucleotides) under Hevea brasiliensis (rubber tree). Lineage: Eukaryota; Viridiplantae; Streptophyta; Magnoliopsida; Malpighiales; Euphorbiaceae. The record is from RNAcentral.
UGGAUGGAGAUGGCUGCAAAGUUCGAGCUGGAUCAGUUACAAAUGAAGGAGAUCUGAAUCUUGAUACGUCAAUUGCUUGUGAUUCAUGUGAUCUAUGGUAUCAUGCCUUUUGUGUUGGAUUUGACCCUGAGGACACUUCUGAAAGUACAUGGCUAUGCCCAAGAUGUGUUGACAAGCUACCCGAAAAGUCAGCACCUUACAAGAAGUUAGGUCCAGAAAAUGCCAGCAAUAACUGUUUGCUUGAGGCUUCUUUUUCAGGGAAAG